Molecule: transfer RNA, 71 nt
Filed under: Marmota monax (woodchuck)
Lineage: Eukaryota; Metazoa; Chordata; Mammalia; Rodentia; Sciuridae
Description: tRNA.Ala
Source: RNAcentral
GAGGUUGUGGCUCAGUGUUAGAGCACCUACCUAGCAUGUGUGAGGCACUGGGUUUGAUUCUCAGCACCACA